CCACCUUGAGAGUUGCCGGGAACAAUAGUGAAAAGGAGGCUACAUGGUUUGUUUGCAGAUGGUGAAUGGAUGGGUGUUUUGAGGAAGACAGUGGGGUUUGUUUUUGUGGGCUUUGUUGGCUGCUGGGUCUGGUAUGGUCAGGAAAACUUUGGAUACGGGAUGGUGCUGGUUUUUAUUUCCAGAAUUCUUGAUGUUCUUGGCCGUCUCUCCCGGUUUCUCCAUUAAUGAAUGCCUUCUUCUAGCCACUAUUUAUAGGAGAGAAUUUCAUCUUCAAUCUUCCUCUCCAUGAUAGCUAUCAAUCUUAAAUGAUUUCAGCCUUUGAAAGAGAGGAUUUCAUCUUGAAUCUUCCUCCAUAAUAGCUGCCAAUCUUUCAUGAUUUCCAGCCUUUCUAGAGCAGAUGAACCCGGGCUGAAAAUUG
Molecule: long non-coding RNA, 418 nt
Filed under: Populus tremula
Lineage: Eukaryota; Viridiplantae; Streptophyta; Magnoliopsida; Malpighiales; Salicaceae
Description: long non-coding RNA (PTRE_LNC000346)
Source: RNAcentral